GACGUAGGUGGCAAGCGUUAUUCGGAAUUAUUGGGCGUAAAGCGUGCGUAGGUGGUUUCUUAAGUCUGAUGUGAAAGCCCAUGGCUCAACCAUGGAGGGUCAUUGGAAACUGGGGAACUUGAGUACGAAAGAGGAGAGUGGAAUUCCACGUGUAGCGGUGAAAUGCGUAGAGAUGUGGAGGAACACCAGUGGCGAAGGCGACUCUCUGGUUCGAUACUGACACUGAGGCACGAAAGCGUGGGGAGCAAACAGG
RNAcentral lists this ribosomal RNA (253 nucleotides) under uncultured bacterium. Its description in RNAcentral is "partial 16S ribosomal RNA". It matches the Rfam family "Bacterial small subunit ribosomal RNA", at positions 524 to 776 of the family's 1533-position model. The record is from RNAcentral.